UACGUAGGGUGCGAGCGUUGUCCGGAAUUAUUGGGCGUAAAGAGCUUGUAGGCGGUUUGUCGCGUCUGCCGUGAAAAUCCGGGGCUCAACCCCGGACUUGCGGUGGGUACGGGCAGACUAGAGUGUGGUAGGGGAGACUGGAAUUCCUGGUGUAGCGGUGAAAUGCGCAGAUAUCAGGAGGAACACCGGUGGCGAAGGCGGGUCUCUGGGCCGAUACUGACGCUGAUGCGCGAAAGCCAGGGGAGCGAACGGG
RNAcentral lists this ribosomal RNA (253 nucleotides) under uncultured bacterium. Its description in RNAcentral is "partial 16S ribosomal RNA". It matches the Rfam family "Bacterial small subunit ribosomal RNA", at positions 524 to 776 of the family's 1533-position model. The record is from RNAcentral.